UUAGGAAUUUUGCGCAAUGGGCGAAAGCCUGACGCAGCAACGCCGCGUGAGUGAUGAAGGCCUUCGGGUUGUAAAACUCUUUUAGCAGGGGCGAAAAAAAUGACGGUACCUGCAGAAAAAGCACCGGCUAACUCUGUGCCAGCAGCCGCGGUAAUACAGAGGGUGCAAGCGUUAUUCGGAGUUACUGGGCGUAAAGAGCGCGUAGGUUGUUUGGUAAGUUUGAUGUGAAAUCCCUGGACUCAAUUCAGGAAGUGCAUCGAAUACUACUAGACUAGAGUAUAGGAGGGGUAAGCGGAAUUCCUGGUGUAGAGGUGAAAUUCGUAGAUAUCAGGAGGAACAACAGUGGCGAAGGCGGCUUACUGGACUAUUACUGACACUGAGGCGCGAAAGCGUGGGGAGC
Molecule: ribosomal RNA, 400 nt
Filed under: uncultured bacterium
Lineage: Bacteria
Description: bacterial SSU rRNA
Rfam family: Bacterial small subunit ribosomal RNA
Source: RNAcentral